Molecule: unclassified non-coding RNA, 3887 nt
Filed under: Hevea brasiliensis (rubber tree)
Lineage: Eukaryota; Viridiplantae; Streptophyta; Magnoliopsida; Malpighiales; Euphorbiaceae
Source: RNAcentral
AAAGAAGAUUGGAGAGGCUUUAAAACUACUGAAAUUGAUUACAACUGAGGCAUGGAGAAUUCAGUGUCCUCUCCAGUUGCUAACUAGUCCAGAUUAUAUGCAACAGGCUAUAGAUAAUUGGGGAUUUUGCAAAUAAACUCUUUGCAGGCUGAUUGUAAAGUGUGCUCUGCGGUGUGUUUGUGAAAAUUAUCAAGAAACAUCACAUAUUAAUAAAAAGAUUGAGGAGAUGUGGCAGAGGGUCAUUUCUAUAGAAUCGAAAGAGAUAAAAGCCACAAGGGCUGAAGAUUUCUUAUUGCAGUCUUGUACUUAACAUUUGAACUCCACAAAUAAUUAAAAGAUACAAAAAAAAACCCCACAAUUAUCAGCCCGUCCAUAGGCUGAAUUUAUUAUAAUAAUGAUAAUAAAAUAGGCAACCAUCACCUUUAUUUAACGCCUAACAUUGAACAUAUCAUGAAUAAAAAACACUCUAUAUUGCCCUCUGCUUGCUGCAGUGAUAUAUCACAAGGAUCAACGAAGAAUCUUGCACCUCUGUUUUAUUUGCCUUGCCAACAAACCUUAAUCACAUCUUCACUUGCUAGUUGCUUGGACCUGCAACUCCCUCUUCUUUGUAGUGAUUUUGUAUGACUGUGUUAAAGUCUGUUCCAUCGAGCAGUAUGUCACUGUUGUUUACUUUGACCACCUUCAACUUUGGUGUGCUCUGGUUUCCAUCAGAAGCAGCAAAUGUCUUCAUUUUAGGGCAAUUGCUCACCUCUACCAUUUCCAAGGAUGGCCAUUUGAAAGGUAAGUUAUCCAUACAAAAAGCCUUAAGAUUGAGAAGUGUGCGUAGUGAAAGCUUUAUUAAUUGAUAGAACACCACAUUGUCAAUCGUCUCCUCCCCUUCUCGCCUUUCUGCAACAAUUGCUUCUAAUUCAUCACAAUCACACAAAUCCAGUUCUUUCAGACGCUCAAGUCCUUGAGCAAUAGAAGCAGGAAAGAUAACUCUCAAUUUCUUGCACGAUUCUAUCUUUACAAUUUGUAGAUUGUGCAGGUGCAACAACUCACUAGGGCUCUCCCAUAUAUGCUUCAUUCCUUCCAAAGAUUUCAGAUGAAGUUCUCUUAUAGAAAGAGGCGUUCCUUUUUUUUCAAAUAUACACUCCAAUGCAUUGCAAUGAUAAACUUCAAGAGCUUCAAGUUGCUUAAAUUGUUGCUGUGGAUUGAAUGGAGCGAAAACAUUCGACAAUUCCCCACAGCUAGAAAAGUACAAGCGUUUGAGCUUACUCAUGGACGAGGAAAUUUCAGGAGGUAGUUCAGUGUUGCAUAAUGCUUUGAAGGUUUUCAGUUGCUCGAGAUAUAGUUCUUCCAGUUCCAACAAAUAAGCGUACCUUAUCUGCCAUUCUUCAACAUUGAUCAGGUACUCGAAAUUAGCACAACUGUCAAUUUUCAUGCUCCUCAAACCAGCUAAACCAUCUCCGUUUGAAAAUAAUAAGCAUGGAAUGAUAUUCCUUAAAUCCUCAAAAUAUACUAAAUAUAGAUAAUUUGUUCUUGGCAGUAACGGCUUGAAGCAACCUAGCGAGGAAAUUGUGGCAUCAGAAAGAACCAGAUAGUUGGACUCGUGAGACAAAAUCAUUCCUUUCAUGUAUCCUAUUGCUCCGUAGGGUAUCCAUCUUGCCAAAUGAAUUUUGAAAAACUUCAAAUUUGGGAAUAUGAAGCCUUCAGGAAUAGUUCGAAUGGUAAUUGUAAGGGUAGUCAAGCGAGACAAGGAUUUCAACUCAGUUAUGUCGAAGUCAUCAAAUAGCAAUCUCGCACUCAUGUACAUAGCUGAGAAGGCACUCGAAAAAUCAAAAGCAAGCUUGUACAAUUCCUCUAACUGGGAUGAACUAGAUAUAGCAUUGGUUGGAAAUAUGGAAGAGAUGCGCCUAGAAUGAGAACAAUAUUCCACAUCCAGCAACUUUAGCUUAGUCAACUUCGUUAUUGUACUGAAUGGCUCCCGGAACUGACACCUUUUGAAGUCAAGAAUUUCAAGCAUCUUCAGUUCCCCAAUUGCUGUAGCGUCGCCAAUCAGAUAAUCCUGAAGAAUCAGUGUCCGGAGAUUGGUUAAUUGACCAAAUUCUUGUUUCAAGUGCCCAUUGAAAGAACUACCACGCCGAAGGCCUCCCAGAUGAAAAACUUCAAGGGCUUUCAUCCCUAACAAGACUGCAUUUGGCAUACUCGACGGCUCAAUGUGAUCAUAAAUGUCUCGCAUCAACAAUAUCUUGAGAUUUGGGCAAUCCCAAGCAUCAGGAAAUUGAGAAAUCUCAUUUUGAGUUAUUGAGAUGCCAGUGAAAAUCUUCAUAUCUUCUGCACUUGGCCAACACUCCAACUGCUUGAAACCGUCUCUCACAAAAUAAUCUGAUGCCAUUGAUAAAGCAACAUCACGCACAACAUCAUGCAUUUUGACGCAGCCUUCUUUAUCACUUUCCAAUAACAAACAGGAAGCUUUCAGGUUUUUUAUGAUAGCAAUAGCAUUUCGUCUUGCAUCCUCCAUUCUCACAACAUCUUCGAAUAUCUUCAGUCCAACUCCAUAUCUUACCAGGUCUUCUACUGGAAUGUUAAAAUCCUCAGGAAAUAAACUGCACAACUUCAAAACUUUCUUGGCUUCCUCAUUUUGAAGGUAAUCAUAGCUUAACUGGAGGCAUCUGUACACAUCUUUAUGCAUCCCUUCAAUAAAUUGUGGCUGUGAUUUCUUAAGCUUCUCAACUGCUACUCGCCAUUCGUCAGGAUCUUUGCCUCUCAUUGCCCUUCCCACCGUAACAAGAGUUAUAGGCAGGCCUCCACAUUCUCUGAUAAUCUCUUUUGCCAAAGAAUUCAACGUUGGAGACUCGAUAUCAUCGCCAGCAUUCUUUUUAAGCAAUACCCAUGAUUCUUUCUCCGAUAAAAUAUUAAUAGGGAUUAUCUUUGCAGUCACGCUUCUUUUGUCGACCAUAGCAUCGCAUACUUGUCUACGACGUGUUGUGACCAUAAUUUUGCAGCUUGCAUAAUCAUGGCCAAAUGGAAUGCCCACAGUUGCAAGGUCAAGUCUAGCCCACAAAUCAUCCAAGAUAAUGAGGACUUUAUUCUCGUUCUUCAGUCUGGCAUGCAACAGGCUUACUCGAUCUUGUUCAUUACUUAUCUCUUUCAAUUUCAAACCCAACCUCUCUGCUAUCUGGUCUUGAAUCUUUUUCACAUCAACGGUUUGUGAAACCACAACCAUUGCAAUAGUAGCAAAAAGCCUUCCCUCUUGAGCCCUUUUAAUAACUUCUUUCACCAGAGUGGUUUUACCCACCCCUCCCAUUCCGUGUAUCCCAAUGAAAUUGGUUUUGUUGUCCUUCAAAGCCCCCAUAAUCUCCUCUAUAACCAAUUCUGUGCUUUCGAAAAUCACAACAUCUUGAGAUGGAAACUCUAUAAUUGGUGGAGGUGCGGGAUUGGAAACUCUAUCAAACUUGCUAUCACUUUUCAAAUCUUUUAUUGCAAUUGUUAUCUUUUGAGCUUUCCUGCUUAGCUGAUAACGUGAAGCCAAAUUAUGAAACCUUGCUUUGGAAGCCUCAUCAUGAAGUUUCUUAGCCUCCAACAGGAUCUCAUCAACCUCUGAUGUCCAAUUCUGAACCUCAUUUCUGAUGACCUCACAAUUCCUUUCUGCUGCAUCAAUAGAUGCCUGUACGUCUUUCCUCACUCCUUCAAGUAUUUGAACUUGCUUCUGAAGAGUCUCAAUGUUACUGCUGUAGCGAAUAAAAUAGCCAAACUGUCUACCGAUUGGCUCAAUCAAGAGUUCUCCAAAUUUUCCAGCGACAGAAAUCACAACAUCCAUGGCUAUACUGUCUGUGGACUGUCCUGUUUUUUGAUAGCUUCCAGCUGCCAAGAAAUUUCAAAUAAAUAAAUAGCCAAUGUAUAUA